AAGAGAACCUCCACUCGAGGUAAGUGAGAAGCUUUUCAUUAUAUGGUGCUGAUUCUUCAUUGAACUGAAUAUCAAAUAUUUCACAUAGAAUAUAAUACAAUAAUCAGACGAAACAGUUAAAAUCAUAUCAAUUAAUGGCUCUGGCUGAAUUAUCAAACCUAAUAUCUUAUAAGCUGUGGACACAUUUUGCAGUUGGUAGUGGAAGAGGUAGGU
Molecule: unclassified non-coding RNA, 213 nt
Filed under: Hevea brasiliensis (rubber tree)
Lineage: Eukaryota; Viridiplantae; Streptophyta; Magnoliopsida; Malpighiales; Euphorbiaceae
Source: RNAcentral